RNAcentral lists this ribosomal RNA (433 nucleotides) under uncultured bacterium. RNAcentral's name for it is "partial 16S ribosomal RNA". It matches the Rfam family "Bacterial small subunit ribosomal RNA", at positions 29 to 507 of the family's 1533-position model. The record is from RNAcentral.
AACGAACGCUGGCGGCAUGCCUAACACAUGCAAGUCGAACGAUCCCUUCGGGGAUAGUGGCGCACGGGAGCGUAACGCGUGGGAACCUGCCCUUAGGUUCGGAAUAACUCAGAGAAAUUUGAGCUAAUACCGGAUAAUGUCUUCGGACCAAAGAUUUAUCGCCUUUGGAUGGGCCCGCGUUGGAUUAGCUAGUUGGUGGGGUAAAGGCCUACCAAGGCGACGAUCCAUAGCUGGUCUGAGAGGAUGAUCAGCCACACUGGGACUGAGACACGGCCCAGAAUCCUACGGGAGGCAGCAGUGGGGAAUAUUGGACAAUGGGCGGAAGGAUGAUCCAGCAAUGCCGGGUGAGUGAUGAAGGCCUGAGAGUUGUGAAGCUGUUUUACCCGGGAUGAUAAUGACGGUACCGGGAGAAUAAGCCCCGGCUAACUCCGUG